GGAGAGGUGCCGGAGUGGCCGAACGGGCACGACUGGAAAUCGUGUAGGGGCCGAAAGUCUCUCGCGGGUUCGAAUCCCGCCCUCUCCGCCA
RNAcentral lists this transfer RNA (91 nucleotides) under Chloroflexota bacterium. RNAcentral describes it as "Chloroflexi bacterium tRNA-Ser". It matches the Rfam family "tRNA". Rfam says of the family: Transfer RNA (tRNA) molecules are approximately 80 nucleotides in length. The record is from RNAcentral. Lineage: Bacteria; Bacillati; Chloroflexota.